UUUCCGUAGGUGAACCUGCGGAAGGGUCAUUAAUGAGUUGUCAUGGGGUUCGAUGCUGGCAGCCAAUUUUUGGAUGCAUGUGCUUGCCCUAACAAUCAUCUUCCAAACACCUGUGCACAUUUUUGAGGGAGUCUUGAGUUGGUUGCCGCUCUUGGGUGAUUUUCUCACAUUCCCUUAAAUCAUUAUACGCUAUUAACAAUGUUGAACGUGCUCUGUGCCGCAAGGCUAUUAAUAUAAUACAACUUUUAACAACGGAUCUCUUGGCUCUU
RNAcentral lists this unclassified non-coding RNA (269 nucleotides) under plant metagenome. RNAcentral's name for it is "partial contains small subunit ribosomal RNA, internal transcribed spacer 1, and 5.8S ribosomal RNA". The record is from RNAcentral.